AACGAACGCUGGCGGCAGGCUUAACACAUGCAAGUCGAGCGCCCCGCAAGGGGAGCGGCAGACGGGUGAGUAACGCGUGGGAAUCUACCCAUCACUACGGAACAACUCCGGGAAACUGGAGCUAAUACCGUAUACGUCCUUCGGGAGAAAGAUUUAUCGGUGAUGGAUGAGCCCGCGUUGGAUUAGCUAGUUGGUGGGGUAAUGGCCUACCAAGGCGACGAUCCAUAGCUGGUCUGAGAGGAUGAUCAGCCACACUGGGGCUGAGACACGGCCCAGACUCCUACGGGAGGCAGCAGUGGGGAAUAUUGGACAAUGGGCGCAAGCCUGAUCCAGCCAUGCCGCGUGAGUGAUGAAGGCCCUAGGGUUGUAAAGCUCUUUCAACGGUGAAGAUAAUGACGGUAACCGUAGAAGAAGCCCCGGCUAACUUCGUGCCAGCAGCCGCGGUAAUACGAAGGGGGCUAGCGUUGUUCGGAUUUACUGGGCGUAAAGCGCACGUAGGCGGAUUGUUAAGUUAGGGGUGAAAUCCCAGGGCUCAACCCUGGAACUGCCUUUAAUACUGGCAAUCUCGAGUCCGGAAGAGGUGAGUGGAAUUCCNGAGUGUAGAGGUGAAAUUCGUAGAUAUUCGGAGGAACACCAGUGGCGAAGGCGGCUCACUGG
This 657-nucleotide ribosomal RNA is filed under the name uncultured Alphaproteobacteria bacterium. RNAcentral describes it as "bacterial SSU rRNA". It matches the Rfam family "Bacterial small subunit ribosomal RNA", at positions 28 to 732 of the family's 1533-position model. The record is from RNAcentral. Lineage: Bacteria; Pseudomonadati; Pseudomonadota; Alphaproteobacteria.